UGUAAAAUUUUAAAGGUCGAACAGACCUAAUAUUUUAGCUUCUACACCAAAAAUUAAUUUUAAUCCAACAUCGAGGUCGCAAUCUUUUUUUUCGAUAUGAACUCUAUAAAAAAAUUACGCUGUUAUCCCUAAGGUAAUUUAAUCUUAUAAUCACUAAAUAUGGAUCAAAUAAUCAUAAAUUAAUGUCUUUAUAUAAAAAAAGUUUAUUAAAUUUUUCAAUCAUCCCAAUCAAAUAAAAUUUAUAAUUAAUUUUAUAUAUAUAUACUAAAAAUAAUCAAUUAAAAUAUUUUAUAAAACUCUAUAGGGUCUUCUCGUCUUUUAAUUAUAUUUAAGCUUUUUAACUUAAAAAUAAAAUUCUAAUAAAAUUAAUAAGABACAGUUAUUUUCUUAUUCAACCUUUCAUACCAGCUUUCAAUUAAAAAACUAAUUAUUAUGCUACCUUAGCACGAUCAAAAUAUCGCGGCCAUUUAAAAUAUCAGUGGGCAGGUUAGACCUAAUAUUAUAAUCAAUAGGAC
RNAcentral lists this ribosomal RNA (515 nucleotides) under Timarcha tenebricosa. RNAcentral's name for it is "partial 16S ribosomal RNA". The record is from RNAcentral. Lineage: Eukaryota; Metazoa; Arthropoda; Insecta; Coleoptera; Chrysomelidae.